RNAcentral lists this long non-coding RNA (344 nucleotides) under Ananas comosus (pineapple). RNAcentral's name for it is "long non-coding RNA (ACOM_LNC040924)". Lineage: Eukaryota; Viridiplantae; Streptophyta; Magnoliopsida; Poales; Bromeliaceae. The record is from RNAcentral.
UGGAUUGCCACCCCUAUCUGUGGUUUCGCACUUUCUCACUUUAGCACCCUGUGGUUUAAUAUUUCGUUAAAUUAUAUACCCGAAAUGGAUAAUAAAAAGAGAAAAUUGAAACAACAUGGUACUAACUUGAUACACUUGAAACCACAUGGUACUAGCUUGAUACACUUGAAAUCACAGGGUACUAAAAUGAGAAAGUGCGAAAUCAUAGGAUACUAACUUGAUACACUUUAAAUCACAGGGCAAUAAAGUGAGAAAGUACGAAACCACUGGGGUAUUUGAAGUUCCCGUUUUUUUUCCCAUCAAAUUUAGUGUUUUACAAAAAAAUAAAUAAAUAAAUACAAUUU